GACGCGACGUGCAGAGAAUCUGGCCAGCCCCGCGCAGCCACGGCUGCGGCCCGGGCCCACAGUCGGGUGGGAGUUGGGGGGGCGGGGCGGUGCGCAGGGCCCUGGCCCACUGCUCGCGGCCGGAGACCCAGAGGGCCUCGUCCGCACCCCGACUCUCUCGGGGGACGCAGGGACGCCAGGGCCCUCGGGUCUAAGGCACUUUGGGGCUCUCCGGGCCUGGGGGCACCUGGGCAUGCCAGGCUCCCACCCGGCGCCGAGGGGGACGGGCUCGCCCCCUUCCCGGGACGUGAGGUGAACGGCUGAGCCCCCGUCCGAGCUCAGAUGGGUUCCCUCGCCACCUUCCGGACGAAGUGUCAAGUACAAGUUCAAGUUCAGGGCUAGGCCCGGGGGGCUCCGAGCCUUCCCCGGCUGCCUUUGUUCUUCCAGAUAAUCGCUCCCAAGUCCCCUCCGGGCGGGGCCCGACAGACGCCCCCGCCCCGCCCCACCGCGCCCCGCAGGAGCCGCCUCCUCCCGCCGGCCCGGCGCCUGUCCCCUGGUCCCGGCGCCCCCGCUCGGGGCCACCGUAGGUCUGGGGGCUCGGGGCGGGGGGAGGCGCGAGCCGCGUCCGUGGGAGCCUCCCCAGCCCCGCAGUCCCAGCUGCAAACCGAGCUUGGUCGGACGGACCCUCGCGCUGAGCCCUUCCUGCCACCUCCGCGCAGACCGGGGAAGAGGUAAAGCUCGGAUCCCUGUCAGCAUGAGGUGAGGGCGCCACGUCGGAACUGGCUUGAUCAUGACAUUCCUGAUUCUGCUUCUGGCCGCACCACGUUUUCUCCAACACUGCCAGGUGGUAUCGGGUCCACAGCCGAUAGAAGAGCCCUGAAAGGUGAUUCAUUCCAUGGCUCAAAAUUCAAUAUGAACAAAAUGCACACAAUGCCUGUGCAUACCUCUGCCUCCAGUCAGAGCACACGUCCACUGCUCCUGGCUUCUGCGAUUUCUCCAGGGCUCAGCUUCCUUGGCUCUGCAUGCUGUGCUGGCACUCUCUCUCCUGCUCAUGGAAGCAAACAGUGCAAACACUGGCCAGUCACUGUCUGCUUCCCUGUGAGUCUCCCCCGCCAGGCUGUGCGGUACCUGAGGACAAGAGGUCGUACCUUACUCAUCUGGAAUCCCCAGGGCCGGGCAUGGUGCCUGGCAUAGAGAGGGCGCUCCGCAAUCUUUGCCCAGUAGGCUUGGAAGGGGCCCGUAGGCGCUUUGCCACAGCGGCACCUCGUGGUAGACCUUGGAAGUGCAGCGAGGAAGAGACCUUGGGGCGAGGGGCGGGGGUUGCACAGGCUUCAGAGAUCCCCUGGGGUCUGAAUAGGAGGCGCUCCCUAUUGGUCCGCUCCAGAUUCCAUUUUGUCUAACGGCACCCAACCUGGACAGAGCCCGGUGGGCGGUCACCCACCUUUCCAUCACCAGAACUGCUGUUCGCUGAGACCAACCCACCCCAUGAUCGGCAGCUUGGGGCAUUUAGCAGUGUGUGCGUGUGGUGUGUGCGCACGCACGUGUGUGCUGUACUCGUGUGUUUCGGGGCAUGGCUCGCAUAUCCCUGUACAGAUACUUAACACCGUCCCUCUUCUAUAAGACGAAAUUAUUGGCAGUCAUUUCAAUAAUCAUGAAAUGAAUAGCAGUAAAUAAAUGGCAGGCAGCCAAAAUUUUCUUUUAUUGAAUUUUUUCUAUAAGCUCACGCCAUUUCAAAAAGAAAUUACAAAUACAAGAAUCAUGAUAGUACAAAAAAGGAAGACGCGGACACGUACUUUUACAUUAUUUUUUUAAAAGGGAGGGACAUAUACCCAUAUAUUGCCGUGUCCCAGUAUUGAAUAAAAUUACAUUAGAAUUAAGUAGGAACAAUUUAAAAAGAAGACACUUCCCUUUUAAAUAAAUUGUUCAAAUUCCAUAAAAUAUUUCCUGUUUAAUCUAAAAUUUGCACUUUCCUAACAGAACUGUUAUGUCCUCAGAACUUGCUCUCUGGUUCACUGCUUAAAAUUUUUUAUUUUAUUGUAUUUUAUUUAUUUUGAAGAUUUUAUUUUGAGUGCACCUGGGUGGCUCAGUCGGUUAAGCAUUUGCCUCCUGCUCAGGUCAUGAUUCUGGGGUCCUGGG
Ailuropoda melanoleuca (giant panda) is the source of this 2115-nucleotide long non-coding RNA. RefSeq lists it as uncharacterized. Lineage: Eukaryota; Metazoa; Chordata; Mammalia; Carnivora; Ursidae. The record is from RefSeq and is a predicted model, not a curated record. The transcript has 4 exons.